AUUGAACGCUGGCGGCAGGCCUAACACAUGCAAGUCGAGCGGAGCGGCGGACGGGUGAGGAAUGCCUAGUAAUCUGCCUGGUAGUGGGGGAUAACGUCCGGAAACGGGCGCUAAUACCGCCUACUCUCAGAUGAGCCUAGGUCGGAUUAGCUAGUUGGUGGGGUAAAGGCCUACCAAGGCGACGAUCCGUAACUGAUCUGAGAGGAUGCUCAUUCACACUGGGAAUGAGACACGGUCCAGACUCCUACGGGAAGCAGCAGUGGGGAAUAUUGGACAAGGGGAGAAAGCCUGAUCCAGCCAUGCCGCGUGUGUGAAGAAGGUCUGCGGAUUGUAAAGCACUUUAAGUUGGGAGGCGUUACCAACAGAAUAAGCACCGGCUAACUUCGUGCCAGCAGCCGCGGUAAUAC
RNAcentral lists this ribosomal RNA (407 nucleotides) under uncultured bacterium. Its description in RNAcentral is "partial 16S ribosomal RNA". It matches the Rfam family "Bacterial small subunit ribosomal RNA", at positions 30 to 526 of the family's 1533-position model. The record is from RNAcentral.